RNAcentral lists this transfer RNA (68 nucleotides) under Marmota monax (woodchuck). RNAcentral's name for it is "tRNA.Ala". The record is from RNAcentral. Lineage: Eukaryota; Metazoa; Chordata; Mammalia; Rodentia; Sciuridae.
GGACUGUGGCUCAGCGGUAGAGUGCUCACCUAGCAUGUGUGAGGCCCUGGGUUUGAUCCUUACCACCA